CCUACGGGUGGCAGCAGUGAGGAAUAUUGGUCAAUGGCCGCGAGCCUGAACCAGCCAAGUCGCGUGAAGGAAGACUGCCCUACGGAUUGUAAACUUCUUUUGUAAGGGAGUAAAGUUAGGCACGUGUGCGUGUUUGUGGGUACUUUAUGAAUAAGCAUCGGCUAACUCCGUGCCAGCAGCCGGGGUACUACGGAGGAUCCGAGCUGUAGCCGGAUUUAUUGGGUUUAAAAGGAGCGUCGAGCGGUUGUUAAGGUAGGUGUUAAAGUCUGAGGCGCAAACGUAAAACAGCAAUUGAUACUGGUAGUCUGGAGUGCAGGUGAGGUAGGCGGAAUGCGUGGUGUAGCGGUGAAAUGCAUAGAUAUCACGAAGAACUCCGAUUGCGAAGGCAGCAUACUAACAUGCGACUGACACUGAUGCUCGAAAGUGUGGGUAUCAAACAGGAUUAGAUACCCGAGUAGUC
RNAcentral lists this ribosomal RNA (460 nucleotides) under uncultured bacterium. RNAcentral describes it as "partial 16S ribosomal RNA". It matches the Rfam family "Bacterial small subunit ribosomal RNA", at positions 338 to 795 of the family's 1533-position model. The record is from RNAcentral.